GGCCUUGUGGCUCAAUGGUAGAGUGCUUGACUACGAAUCAAGUGGUUGCAGGUUCGAGCCCUGCCAAGGUCA
RNAcentral lists this transfer RNA (72 nucleotides) under Teratosphaeria nubilosa. It matches the Rfam family "tRNA". Rfam says of the family: Transfer RNA (tRNA) molecules are approximately 80 nucleotides in length. The record is from Rfam by way of RNAcentral. Lineage: Eukaryota; Fungi; Ascomycota; Dothideomycetes; Mycosphaerellales; Teratosphaeriaceae. RNAcentral also lists the same sequence under 1 other name.